RNAcentral lists this ribosomal RNA (468 nucleotides) under uncultured bacterium. RNAcentral describes it as "partial 16S ribosomal RNA". It matches the Rfam family "Bacterial small subunit ribosomal RNA", at positions 28 to 507 of the family's 1533-position model. The record is from RNAcentral.
GACGAACGCUGGCGGCGUGCUUAACACAUGCAAGUCGAACGGAAAGGCCCUGCUUUUGUGGGGUGCUCGAGUGGCGAACGGGUGAGUAACACGUGAGUAACCUGCCCUUGACUUUGGGAUAACUUCAGGAAACUGGGGCUAAUACCGGAUAGGAGCUCCUGCUGCAUGGUGGGGGUUGGAAAGUUUCGGCGGUUGGGGAUGGACUUGCGGCUUAUCAGCUUGUUGGUGGGGUAGUGGCUUACCAAGGUUUUGACGGGUAGCCGGCCUGAGAGGGUGACCGGCCACAUUGGGACUAAGAUACGGCCCAGACUCCUACGGGAGGCAACGGUGGGGAAUAUUGCACAAUGGGCGGAGGCCUGAUGCAGCAACGCCGCGUGCGGGAUGACGGACUUCGGGUUGUAAACCGCUUUCGCCUGUGACGAAGCGUGAGUGACGGUAAUGGAUAAAGGAGCACCGGCUAACUACGUG